Molecule: ribosomal RNA, 524 nt
Filed under: uncultured bacterium
Lineage: Bacteria
Description: partial 16S ribosomal RNA
Rfam family: Bacterial small subunit ribosomal RNA
Source: RNAcentral
GACGAACGCUGGCGGCGUGCCUAAUACAUGCAAGUCGAGCGCAGGAAAUCGACGGAACCCUUCGGGGGGAAGUCGACGGAAUGAGCGGCGGACGGGUGAGUAACACGUAAAGAACCUGCCCUCAGGUCUGGGAUAACCACGAGAAAUCGGGGCUAAUACCGGAUGGGUCAUCGGACCGCAUGGUCCGAGGAUGAAAGGCGCUUCGGCGUCGCCUGGGGAUGGCUUUGCGGGGCAUUAGCUAGUCGGUGGGGUAAUGGCCCACCACGGCGACGAUGCAUAGCCGACCUGAGAGGGUGAUCGGCCACACUGGGACUGAGACACGGCCCAGACGCCUACGGGAGGCAGCAGUAGGAAAUCUUCCACAAUGGACGAAAGUCUGAUGGAGCAACGCCGCGUGAACGAUGAAGGCCUUCGGGUCGUAAAGUUCUGUUGUAAGGGAAGAACAAGUGCCGCAGGCAAUGGCGGCACCUUGACGGUACCUUGCGAGAAAGCCACGGCUAACUACGUGCCAGCAGCCGCCGUAA